CUUAGAAGAAGGCUGACUAUUCCUAUGGGAGAGACCACACAGAAACUAAAAAUACUUGGAAGAGGAGAGGGGCUCAGUUGAGCCCAACCUUCCAGCCAACUCCAGCAGGGUGGCAAGUAUGAGAGUGAGGAUAUCUUGGAGCCUCAGCAACCUGUGCUAUCCAAUAGCUAUCAGCCACAUGUGACUACUGAGCACUCAAAAUGUGGAGCAUCCUGCAUGAUUCUAUAGCACUCAACAGGUGUCUGCCAAGCGGACAGACUACAGACCCCUCUGGCCGCAUGAUGCUGAGCUUCCCCUUGGACACAUGAAGAUUAAGUUAGUCAAGCAUGGAGAUUCCUCCCUCUCCUUCACAAACUCCAGAUGUUUGGCAUCUCCCCAAUAUCCUAAGACCUCCUGGACUGGGAACAAAAUGAGCGUAGUGAAAGAGGAAGCAGCUUUAGAGAAAGCACCACAGGGAACAAACCAAUAAAAAAGCAGGAAACUCAGCACAAGCCUGAUUUAUGUCACUGCACUUCUCUACUCUCAGCCCCAUUCCCCCAAACUCCCAGCAAGCACACAAGCACACACAGGCACACACAUGCACAUGCGCACACACACAUGCACAUACACAACACACACACACACACAUGCCUUCUGCCAGCAGCUCUCUUUCUCACUCUCACUUUUCUUUUCAAAUGCUGGCAUUUGAAAAAAUCCCCUAUUUUGUUUCACCCUCCUUUUCUGCCUCCCUAAAGAGCUUCCGAAGAGGAGUUUUGAUGGUGCAUCUGAGUGUUAAUAGAUUCGGGAGUGUGAAGCUGUUGCCUGAAUCUCAUUCCCUGAGAGUGCCUUUCUCUUUUUAAUAGCUGAGAAAGAAUUGAUCAAGCCUCUGUUUUAGUCUCUGUUUCUAAACAGAAAGAAAGAAAGAAAAAGGAAGGAAGGAAACAAGGAAGGAAGGACAUACAACGUAAAAACAAAAACAUUUUUACGACGAUCCCUUUUUCAACAGCUAGGGGCAAUCCAGUGUGUUCAGUUGUGUUAGUUCUGUGUCUGUCAGGAGAAAAAGCCAUGUAGAAGUGAUGAUUUAGUUUUCUUGGUGGGAACACAAGGGAAGCUAGUUGAAAGCAAUGGUUGUGGGGUCUUGAAUGGACAGGCAAGUCCGGUAGUCAGAAGAAGAUUUUGAUUAGAAACAGAGGAAUUUCUUCCAGGAAAAUACAUUGUCUUCAUGACAAACCAAAAAUACACCAAAUGUUCUGAAAACUGCCCUUUAAAAAGAAAGAACAGAUUGUUCAAUUGAAACACUUUCCUGAAGCCAAUUGUUGCAGGCUGCCAGCCACCUUCAGUACCAGCCACCCCUCCGUCCUCCCCAGGGCCGGUAUAAGGGGUGCAUGAGAGACACGUGCAUGCAGAAGACUCCACCAUGAUGCCUGGCUCCCAUUGCACUGUCCCAGAGCGGCGUAGUGGCAGCUGGGGUUAGUGCUAUCUGUCAUGAAAGGGCAUUCUACUCCGGUUGGCAGAGAACACUCACACACGGGGAAGCUGAGCCAUCAGUGCAGGAGUUAAUUCCCGUUUGCAAUAAUACUAAGGAUGUCGCAUUCAUAUAUACUCAAUGAGCACUAAAGGAAUCAUAGGAAUAUGCUCUCACAGGAGAUAAUGUAGCCACAGUAGAUAAAGGAGGAUGUCCUGGAAGAAGGGGAACCUUUUUUAAGCCAAGGGAGAAAACCACUGAAAAGUAAAUCUUUGCAUGUAGCUGUGCAGCUCUGCAGAUCUAAAAUCUGUGCUUUUUAAAAGUAUACUCUGUGGAGUAGCAGUCCACAUCAAAAGGUCACAGUUUAAAAGUUUUGUAUUGUGCUUGGGUUAUCCCUUAAGAUGUUAGUUAUAUCAUCACAAAAGAACAAGAGUAAACUGUAAUUUACUAUUUUUGGAGUAUUUUUUUGUUGUUAGGCAUUUGAAGGAUGAGGUGCACAGUGCCCAAGAGUAUGUCACAGCGGCAAUUUCCACUUUAUGCAGAAUUAAUACUCAAUUACUUAUCUGCUUACCUGGACCUUGAGUGAAUAAUAGAUUCCUAAUAAAGGGUUUUUGAGCAAAUGGACAAAUUGGAUGCAUUUAUGUUAUAGCAGCCACAACAGCAAAAGAAAAUCAAACACUUACAAAACAGAAGUCAAUCAAGUUUUAACUAGAGGAGACACCAAAGUAUCAUACAGUGGAGGAAAAAUUCAAAUGUUCUGCGCCAAGCUCCUAUCAUGCCAAUUGUACAUGUUUGUGCGUAUGUAGGGUAGCUAGGGUUGGAUGUGUAAUCAUCCCUAAAAUUCAUUUGGUGAAGAAAAAUACAUUUUAUUUGAAAUCAUUGUCUAUUUUUAUUCCUGCCAAUAUUUUGUAUAACAUAGAAGUCUGCCCCAGAGUGUAAAUAAAUAAUGAGGAAGGUCACAGAUCUAAAUAUACUAUCUUGGUUCAAUAAUAAAAAGAGAAUUUUUUCCUCGU
Molecule: long non-coding RNA, 2457 nt
Filed under: Homo sapiens (human)
Lineage: Eukaryota; Metazoa; Chordata; Mammalia; Primates; Hominidae
Description: non-protein coding lnc-FAM110B-3:2
Source: RNAcentral